This 199-nucleotide ribosomal RNA is filed under the name uncultured bacterium. Its description in RNAcentral is "partial 16S ribosomal RNA". It matches the Rfam family "Bacterial small subunit ribosomal RNA", at positions 328 to 539 of the family's 1533-position model. The record is from RNAcentral.
ACGCUCGACACCUACGGGAGGCAGCAGGUGGGGAAUAUUGCACAAUGGGGGAAACCCUGAUGCAGCGACGCCGCGUGGAGGAAGAAGGUCUUCGGAUUGUAAACUCCUGUCCCAGGGGACGAUAAUGACGGUACCCUGGGAGGAAGCACCGGCUAACUACGUGUCAGCAGCCGCGGUAAUCUGAGCGGGCUGGCAAGGC